This 957-nucleotide long non-coding RNA is filed under the name Homo sapiens (human). RNAcentral's name for it is "HSALNT0324252". Lineage: Eukaryota; Metazoa; Chordata; Mammalia; Primates; Hominidae. The record is from RNAcentral.
CUCGAGCUCUCUAGCUGGCUCCUGGUUCCAUAAGACCAGACUAUUUGAUCUACCUUGUUUCAUCAUACGUUCUCAAUCAUUGGCUUUAAGAAGCCAUCUCAAAUGCACACUGAGGCUUCAAAGGAACUGUCAGCAGCCUGCGAGUUUUCCUUCCACAAGGGACAGAGGAGACAUUGAAACAUUCAGUCAACAGUGUUUGCCACUCAUGUAAUCCGUUCCAAAGAUGGCAGCAGUCUAUUAGGAAAAAAUCACUCAUCAGGAUAAAAAUGCCUGGUCUCUCCGAAUAGUCUCCCCUCCUCCGCUUCCUUCCCAGGAUAGUUCCCCGUGCCCCUCAAGGACGACUGGUCUCGACUGGACUCUUGGCGAAUGACAGCUCCUCCUGCUGCCAACAUCCAAGCUCAUCUGUGCCUCCAGCCAUGAAGAUCACUGCCCAUGGCAGUCUCCUCUUGCCAGCUCAGUCCUCAGCCAGCUCAUGGUCCUCUCAGCAGCUCUGUGUCUGCUCUGGGGGUGGGCCUGGGCCUUUUUCCCCCACCGUAUGCUCUGCACCUGUCAUGGCCACCAGCAUAGAAGUGAAUGAAUCCUUCAAAAUUCAGCUGAAAUAUUGAACUCUUCGCCAAUGUGUCCACCGUUUCCUCCUACUGCUUCCUCUGUGCUCUGGUAAGAAGAUCAUCUUGCUGCUACACGGAGCAUUUUUUGGCUUCUAUUCCAGCCCCUGCAUGCAUCUCAUCUCUCCUACGUUAUCAAUCCCACCUCUCCCCCACUGCCCAGGUGGGGGCUUCCCAAGGCCACCCUCAGAUCCUUGCCAUGUACAUGUUACGCUCAAUAAAUAUUAAAAUUAGUUGAAGUUGUGUUCUGUCUAAUUAACUAGAUUUCUAUUUUAAAGUAACACCAUGGGCAUUUCAUAAAAUAAUCAUAUGACAGAGAUGAGUAUAAGAUGAACAGUACAUCUCCACUCAG